This 253-nucleotide ribosomal RNA is filed under the name uncultured bacterium. RNAcentral's name for it is "partial 16S ribosomal RNA". It matches the Rfam family "Bacterial small subunit ribosomal RNA", at positions 524 to 776 of the family's 1533-position model. The record is from RNAcentral.
UACGGAGGGUGCAAGCGUUAUCCGGAUUCACUGGGUUUAAAGGGUGCGUAGGUGGGCAGGUAAGUCAGUGGUGAAAUCUCCGGGCUUAACUCGGAAACUGCCAUUGAUACUAUCUUUCUUGAAUACCGUGGAGGUCAGCGGAAUAUGUCAUGUAGCGGUGAAAUGCUUAGAUAUGACAUAGAACACCAAUUACGAAGGCAGCUGGCUACACGAAUAUUGACACUGAUGCACGAAAGCGUGGGGAUCAAACAGG